This 95-nucleotide transfer RNA is filed under the name Fusarium musae. It matches the Rfam family "tRNA". From Rfam's summary of the family: Transfer RNA (tRNA) molecules are approximately 80 nucleotides in length. Their secondary structure includes four short double-helical elements and three loops (D, anti-codon, and T loops). The record is from Rfam by way of RNAcentral. Lineage: Eukaryota; Fungi; Ascomycota; Sordariomycetes; Hypocreales; Nectriaceae.
GCGGGUUUAGCUCAGUUGGGAGAGCGUCAGACUGAAGUCACACUUCAAUUAAAUUCCAUAUCUGAAGGUCGUGUGUUCGAUCCACACAAACCGCA